CAGUCGCCACGGUAAUACGAAGGGUGCAAGCGUUAAUCGGAAUUACUGGGCGUAAAGCGUGCGUAGGCGGUUUGUUAAGUCUGCUGUGAAAUCCCCGGGCUCAACCUGGGAAUGGCAGUGGAUGCUGGCAAGCUAGAGUGUGUCAGAGGAUGGUUGAAUUCCCGGUGUAGCGGUGAAAUGCGUAGAGAUCGGGAGGAACAUCAGUGGCGAAGGCGGCCAUCUGGGACAACACUGACGCUGAGGCACGAAAGCGUGGGGAGCAAACAGGAUUAGAUACCCCUGUAGUCCCUGUCUCUUAUAC
This 301-nucleotide ribosomal RNA is filed under the name uncultured bacterium. Its description in RNAcentral is "partial 16S ribosomal RNA". It matches the Rfam family "Bacterial small subunit ribosomal RNA", at positions 509 to 807 of the family's 1533-position model. The record is from RNAcentral.